AACGUAGGAGACAAACGUUAUCCGGAGUUACUGGGCGUAAAGGGCGUGUAGGUGGUUACGUAAGUCUGGCGUGAAAUUUCUCGGCUUAACCGAGGCAGGUCGUCGGAUACUGCGAGACUAGAGGACGGUAGAGGCGUGUGGAAUUCCGGGUGUAGUGGUGAAAUGCGUAGAGAUCCGGAGGAACACCAGUGGCGAAGGCGACACGCUGGGCCGUACCUGACACUGAUGCGCGACAGCAUGGGGAGCAAACAGG
RNAcentral lists this ribosomal RNA (253 nucleotides) under uncultured bacterium. RNAcentral describes it as "partial 16S ribosomal RNA". It matches the Rfam family "Bacterial small subunit ribosomal RNA", at positions 524 to 776 of the family's 1533-position model. The record is from RNAcentral.